Molecule: ribosomal RNA, 406 nt
Filed under: uncultured bacterium
Lineage: Bacteria
Description: partial 16S ribosomal RNA
Rfam family: Bacterial small subunit ribosomal RNA
Source: RNAcentral
AUUGAACGCUGGCGGCAGGCCUAACACAUGCAAGUCGAACGAGUGGCGGACGGGUGAGUAACGCCUGGGAAAGUGCCUGAUGGAGGGGGAUAACUAUUGGAAAGGGUAGCUAAUACCGCAUACCAUUAGAUGGGCCCAGAUGGGAUUAGCUGGUUGGUGGGGUAAAGGCUCACCAAGGCGACGAUCCAUAGCAGGUCUGAGAGGAUGACCAGCCACACUGGAACUGAGACACGGUCCAGACUCCUACGGGAGGCAGCAGUGGGUAAUAUUGCACAAUGGGCGCAAGCCUGAUGCAGCCAUGCCGCGUGUAUGAAGAAGGCCUUCGGGUUGUAAAGUACUUUCGGCGGGGAGGCGUUACCCGCAGAAGAAGCACCGGCUAACUCCGUGCCAGCAGCCGCGGUCAUAC